CGCAUCGUUCGGUGAUUUCUGGGGAUCGCUAUGGCUUUUGGAUGUCCACAUUGCCUUAUGUGCCUUGUGGGUGCUCACUAGUUACACGGUUCUUGUGAAUGCUACCAUCGUAAAGGUGCAUGAGUUGUGUUUGGUUUGUUACAGGUGGUUGGCUCUUUGCUUGCGCAACAACUUCCACCCGGCAUACCUCUUCAGUUGUUUGUUUAGGCUUGCUUUGCCUAUCCAAAUUGUUGGUUUCUGUGUUGCAUACCUAAGCUAUGGUAUUGUGUUGGCUGAUUAUAGUUGAUUUCAUCUUGUGUCAUUCUUGUGGCAUCGGAUGAACCACGAAGCAGUCUCUUUGAUCCACUUUGUUAACGCAUGCGUUGAUGUUGUGGCCCAGUGAGUGUUGCUUGGUAUCCUGGAUAUGGAAAACAAUGUGGGCAUGGGUUCUCUUGAGAUCCUAUUGUUGCCCCCAUUUAGCGUUUGUGCCUCUUUUUAAAAUGACUUACUGUCUUGCCUGAUUUGUCUUUGCCAUCGGGAGGGUUUGUCAAAGUUAACAAUGCUUACUGUCUUGCCUGAWUUGKCUUUGCCAUCGGGAGGGUUUGUCAAAGUUAACAAUGCUUACUGUCUUGCCUGAAUUGGCUUUGCCAUCGGGAGGGUUUGUCAAAGUUAGCCUGACCUACUGUCUUGCCUGAAUCGGCCUUGCUAUCGGGAGGGUUUGUCAAAAAAGUGGCGCAUCACCUUGAAUGACCGGCCUGUCCCGUGUUGGCUCGUACCAGCGGGCGGGCUAUGUCAACGAGGAAUGC
Molecule: unclassified non-coding RNA, 785 nt
Filed under: Bidens pachyloma
Lineage: Eukaryota; Viridiplantae; Streptophyta; Magnoliopsida; Asterales; Asteraceae
Description: partial external transcribed spacer
Source: RNAcentral